ACGGGAGACACACGGCGGGUGCUAACGUCCGUCGUGAAGAGGGAAACAACCCAGACCGCCAGCUAAGGUCCCAAAGUCAUGGUUAAGUGGGAAACGAUGUGGGAAGGCCCAGACAGCCAGGAUGUUGGCUUAGAAGCAGCCAUCAUUUAAAGAAAGCGUAAUAGCUCACUGGUCGAGUCGGCCUGCGCGGAAGAUGUAACGGGGCUAAACCAUGCACCGAAGCUGCGGCAGCGACGCUUAUGCGUUGUUGGGUAGGGGAGCGUUCUGUAAGCCUGUGAAGGUGUACUGUGAGGUAUGCUGGAGGUAUCAGAAGUGCGAAUGCUGACAUAAGUAACGAUAAAGCGGGUGAAAAGCCCGCUCGCCGGAAGACCAAGGGUUCCUGUCCAACGUUAAUCGGGGCAGGGUGAGUCGACCCCUAAGGCGAGGCCGAAAGGCGUAGUCGAUGGGAAACAGGUUAAUAUUCCUGUACUUGGUGUUACUGCGAAGGGGGGACGGAGAAGGCUAUGUUGGCCGGGCGACGGUUGUCCCGGUUUAAGCGUGUAGGCUGGUUUUCCAGGCAAAUCCGGAAAAUCAAGGCUGAGGCGUGAUGACGAGGCACUACGGUGCUGAAGCAACAAAUGCCCUGCUUCCAGGAAAAGCCUCUAAGCAUCAGGUAACAUCAAAUCGUACCCCAAACCGACACAGGUGGUCAGGUAGAGAAUACCAAGGCGCUUGAGAGAACUCGGGUGAAGGAACUAGGCAAAAUGGUGCCGUAACUUCGGGAGAAGGCACGCUGAUAUGUAGGUGAAGUCCCUCGCGGAUGGAGCUGAAAUCAGUCGAAGAUACCAGCUGGCUGCAACUGUUUAUUAAAAACACAGCACUGUGCAAACACGAAAGUGGACGUAUACGGUGUGACGCCUGCCCGGUGCCGGAAGGUUAAUUGAUGGGGUUAGCGCAAGCGAAGCUCUUGAUCGAAGCCCCGGUAAACGGCGGCCGUAACUAUAACGGUCCUAAGGUAGCGAAAUUCCUUGUCGGGUAAGUUCCGACCUGCACGAAUGGCGUAAUGAUGGCCAGGCUGUCUCCACCCGAGACUCAGUGAAAUUGAACUCGCUGUGAAGAUGCAGUGUACCCGCGGCAAGACGGAAAGACCCCGUGAACCUUUACUAUAGCUUGACACUGAACAUUGAGCCUUGAUGUGUAGGAU
RNAcentral lists this ribosomal RNA (1183 nucleotides) under Escherichia coli. RNAcentral's name for it is "partial 23S ribosomal RNA". It matches the Rfam family "Bacterial large subunit ribosomal RNA", at positions 977 to 2144 of the family's 2925-position model. Lineage: Bacteria; Pseudomonadati; Pseudomonadota; Gammaproteobacteria; Enterobacterales; Enterobacteriaceae. The record is from RNAcentral.